Molecule: long non-coding RNA, 332 nt
Filed under: Coccomyxa subellipsoidea
Lineage: Eukaryota; Viridiplantae; Chlorophyta; Trebouxiophyceae; Coccomyxaceae
Description: long non-coding RNA (CSUB_LNC000492)
Source: RNAcentral
CUCAUUGUACUUGUUCUGCCUAGGAUGGUGAAGUCUCUGGGCCCGACAGGUCACGAUGCCUCUGGAAAAUUUCUGAUUGUACCUUUCCACAAUUGCAACCGUCACAAUUUGUUGAGACAAUACGCAGGUACUGGAAUUCUUUUGUGAACAGGUGUUUGAUCUGCAAGGAGUGGUGCGCGGCUCGACUAGAAAUUCUCCAGGCUGGGUUUUAAGGAGGCAAUAUUACUGGACAAUCGCAUCUGAUGAUCGUGCACUCUCCGGUCCGAAAUUAUUGUUCGAAUUCCACCCAAAGCCUGCCACGUUACACCGAGAAUCGUGAAAGCUUGCACGAU